Molecule: long non-coding RNA, 2032 nt
Organism: Triticum aestivum (bread wheat)
Lineage: Eukaryota; Viridiplantae; Streptophyta; Magnoliopsida; Poales; Poaceae
Exons: 3
Source: RefSeq, a predicted model, not a curated record
GCGCGCGUGGGAGUCGAUCCGGCGCGGAAGGGAGGUGAGGCGCGCGACGGUGCUAAGGGUCUGGCUCGGGAGGGAGGCAAGGAUGCGGACAUAGAAGGGGCAGCGAUCCCCACUCGCCGCCUAUGAAUCCUGGCUUGGGAGGGAGGCGAGGAUGCGGUCAUCGAAGGGGCAGCAAUCCCCACUCGCCGCCGAUAUAUCCUGGUCUCAAAAGGCGGCGUCAUGGGAGCACUCUCAGACCGGUGCAGCCAUGGGGGUGGUCUCAACUGCCAGGGGAACGAUAGUUGGCACUUGGCAGCAAGAAAACAGAGAAACCAGAAACUCAGUGAUAGAUAGGAGGUCAGCAGGUGGCUAUAUAGACUCCGCUACUGCGGGUCAUGCUGGGCAUCAGUUUGCGAUGUGAGUGGUGGAGAUGAUGGGAGGAGGGGUGACGAUGAUGGAUCGGCAGAGAAAAGGAUUCAGGAAUACUUUCCCAUGGCUUUUCCGCUGGGAGUCUAACAGCUCAACGUUUGUCGGUGCCCUUGUGCUCAAAAUUCCUAUACAUGUUGAUCCAUGUAUGGCUUCCUAGAAUCAAACUUUGGUUUUUUUUAAGGAGAACACUUUGGUCAUUUUUUAACGUUUUCUACUGUACAGUCUUUGCUUUUAAAGUGAUGUUGAUCCGAUAUAUGUUGAGAAUAUCACAUGGGUAUUAGUUAUCUGACUGUUAAAUUUAAAUUGCUGCCUUUGAGUUCUUUAUUUGCAUAUGAGUAUAAUGUUUUUGGUCGAGGUGAGGUGAUUAUAAAAUGUCAAAGGAUAUGGCAUUAUUACUAUCAAUAGUCAAUUGAUUCUUCUUUUGCUAUAAAUUUGACAAGUAAGGUGAAGGCUUCGGAUUUUGGUGUCUAUAUUUACUCAUUUCUUUUCUUUCUAGACCUGGUUAGCUCUACAUUUCGGCAACUCAUUUAUUCUAUUUCUAUGUUAGAAACUCAGUUUCUUCAUGGUAAAUUAUGGCUUGCUUAUCCACACAAGAUUCUCACUGGUCAACCCUUUUGCAUGCCCCCACAUUCAGGUUAAUUUUUCUACUUAAACAUUUACUUGACCUGUUACCCUACGUCAUGAAUUAUUUACAUAGAGAAUAUACAUUUAGUUUUCUUCUACCUCUUGAAUGUUUCCAGAUAUUGCUCAUAGAAAAUUUUAAAAUCACUGUCUACAUGUGAUUAAUUCAUCUCAUUUAUAAGUUUGUUCAAGGAAAUAUGUGAUGUUUUUUCAUUUGUCCAUCAGUUAUUCACAAAAGAAAAAUGUUUUCUUGGUAUGGCCGAGAGUUUUGUCAUGUCUCCUAUUUGUACUAUUUUUUUAGCAUAUGAGUUUAAUAUACUAAUAUUGACAACAUGAAUGCUCACAAUGAUUUACAUUUCAUAGUACUAUAAAUCCAUAUGUUCUGCCAACGGGUGAGUAAGUUCCACUAAUUCAGAUUAUAACUUGUUUUCUAAAUGCUUCCCCUAUACAACUCUAAUUUGGAAAUAAGAUGGGGGUCAUGCAUGGGUGGUUUCGGGCUUCAACUGAGGAUUUGUUAAGGCUUCAUGGUUUUGGUGUCACAAUAUCAAGUCCAUCCAACAAUAUUCCUUUCAAACAAGAAGAGCAUUCACCGGGGGAGCUAUUAAUGUAUCUAUGUUCAAACCUGGAGUCGCCAGAGGUAAUAGGUUUGAUUUUCUAGUAUAAUUAAUUACAUAGAACAUAAAUCUGUAGAAAAAGGCUAUCAUUUACGGACAUGUAUCUUGUAUUUAGUCAAUCCUCACCAUAGUCGUUGACCUAUAAUUCGUUACAGGAUGUACAUGCAUGCAUAUAUAUAUAUACACCAAGUAUAAACAUAGGGAAUUCCGACUAAUAAAAUUGCUUCCCUAUGGAGUGGUGGAAAAUAAGCUCAUUUGCUAGAGAAAGCUGCCAAGUUACGAUCUAGGGCUUGAGAAGGUAGUCAUUUGAAUUUGUAUAUAUUGUCUUACCAGUAAUGUAGUCAUUUUUGUUAAUGUAGUAAAUAAUCAUUUUGAUAAAUAACUUUUUU